Molecule: long non-coding RNA, 706 nt
Filed under: Manacus vitellinus (golden-collared manakin)
Lineage: Eukaryota; Metazoa; Chordata; Aves; Passeriformes; Pipridae
Description: lncRNA (ENSMVIG00005019182.1)
Source: RNAcentral
UUAGGGGAGCACAACUGGCAGGAAAUCUUGAGUCAGGACAUGCAGUUAGAUUGGAAUCCUUCUGGAUCUUAAAGCCAGAGAGGAUUUUUUUCAGUGCUUUGGACAUGGUCUUAGUAUAACUGCCACCGAGAGGAACUGAGCUGAACAGUACCUUUUGCUAUAGGUAGUCAGGAGGGUCAAGGUUUGUACUUCAGUGGAACCCAAAUUUAGCAUGUCUUACUUUUGUUUUCCUUUAGGCUGGUGAUUUGCAAUCAGGUGCUAAGAACACUGCUAUUUCUCCAAUCCCCACUCUGCUCUCAGAAGGGCAGGCAAAUUCCCUCACAAACACUGGGAAAGGAUUACUGGUGCCCUAAAUUACUGCAGUACUUAAAGUCAUGGACCAUAGCCCUGAAACAGGCUGAUGCACAUGCAGGCUCAAACCUUUUUUUACAGAAAGCUUCUCCUACUGCCCAGAAGGAAAAUUUCUUCCCAGUUGCUCACCUAAUUGUGCAUCUUGUCUACAAGCAGAAAGUUUCACUGGCUCUAUCUGUGAUGGAACAUGCCUGCCACUUUCACUGUUAAUGGAAAACAAUGAAGUAUCUGGCAGGAUCAGUUACAUUAAGGUGUGAUUUCCUGCUGGAAUAAGAUCUGGAGGCCAAAGGGGAGGUAAGUACUUUCUUAAUCUUAUUUAUUAAUCUUAAUAAAUGCUUUAACUAUUAAGUUACCA